GCGUUGCAUUACGAGCUGUGGGACCGCUGCACGUCUUUUGUUGCCUCUGCCUGCGCUGGCCGUGAUGCUUCGCACGGCCUUGGCCAUAUGCGCAAGGUGACGGAGCAGGCGAUCCUGCUGUACCUCAUGGACACCGCCGCGACUGUGGCGCCCGCGGAAAAAGCCGGUAUGUUGUACCGGAUUAUACUAGUGGGCAUGCUACACGACGUGGCAGACCACAAGUACGACGUCGCUGGCGCUCUCCUGCACCGAGUGAAGUCCUUCGCUGCUGCCGAGGCGGCAGCGCUGGUGGCCCACGCAGAGAGCACGGACCCACGUCUUUUUUGUGUCCCUCUGCCGCGUGCCAACGCCGGCGAGACAGAAGGAAGUGCGCAGCAGGUGGUGCAGCAGGUGGCGCAGCUCCUGCUUACCUCACUGGAUGCCAUCUCGUACUCGAAGGAGGUGAAGCGGGGCAUGCGCUGGUUUGUGCCCGCGCUGAGCGAGGGCGUGGAGGCAGCGACGAAAAGCAGCAGCUGGGUGGCGGUCCGAGAUUACGUGAGCGACGCGGACAAGCUGGAGUCCAUCGGCGAGGACGGACUGCUGCGCUGCUACGAGUACACAUGCGUACAGUAUCGCGCUUCGGCGCUGGCACAGCUUGCAUUGAAGACCCCCCGACCCUCCGCUGAGACUGCUGCGCCGCAGGGGACCGCAGUCGAACGGCAGCUUGAAGCAGUAUUGCUGCGCGAGGUGGUAGCUCAUUUCCACGAAAAGCUGAAGCGCUUGCUGCCAGUGUUCAUCGUGACAUCCUCUGGCAAGCACUUGGGGAUCCCGCGUGCUGCCGAAAUGGCUGCCCUUCUGGAGGAGUGGCAGCACUAUGGACCGCCUCCUGUCACGAUGUAUUGGCGCAACGCUGCGGCCGAGUGCACACCAACGUGAUGUUGAGGACUUUUGAGGAGGAAAGGGGGAAGUGACGCUGCUGAGGUUCUUGUGAUGUUUGCGCUUGCACACACACGCUGACGUGUAUGUGUUGUGUUGCCCCACCACUUCUUUGCCCACAUUUUCUG
RNAcentral lists this unclassified non-coding RNA (1043 nucleotides) under Leishmania donovani. RNAcentral's name for it is "gene:unknown". Lineage: Eukaryota; Euglenozoa; Kinetoplastea; Trypanosomatida; Trypanosomatidae. The record is from RNAcentral.